This 486-nucleotide ribosomal RNA is filed under the name uncultured bacterium. Its description in RNAcentral is "partial 16S ribosomal RNA". It matches the Rfam family "Bacterial small subunit ribosomal RNA", at positions 30 to 507 of the family's 1533-position model. The record is from RNAcentral.
AUUGAACGCUGGCGGCAUGCCUUACACAUGCAAGUCGAACGGCAGCACGGGUGCUUGCACCUGUUGGCGAGUGGCGAACGGGUGAGUAAUACAUCGGAACAUGUCCUGUAGUGGGGGAUAGCCCGGCGAAAGCCGGAUUAAUACCGCAUACGAUCUACGGAUGACAGCGGGGGACCUUCGGGCCUCGCGCUAUAGGGUUGGCCGAUGGCUGAUUAGCUAGUUGGUGGGGUAAAGGCCUACCAAGGCGACGAUCAGUAGCUGGUCUGAGAGGACGACCAGCCACACUGGGACUGAGACACGGCCCAGACUCCUACGGGAGGCAGCAGUGGGGAAUUUUGGACAAUGGGCGAAAGCCUGAUCCAGCAAUGCCGCGUGUGUGAAGAAGGCCUUCGGGUUGUAAAGCACUUUUGUCCGGAAAGAAAUCCUUGGCUCUAAUACAGUCGGGGGAUGACGGUACCGGAAGAAUAAGCACCGGCUAACUACGUG